UGCAAAAUCCAUUAUGUGACUGUGAUUCUUUGCACAUUUUUAUCAAUUGCAGGGGUGGAUUCAUAGGAAUGAAAAUGGUGGUUAUGAUUCAUUGCACAAAAUGUCUUCAUAUUAAUUUCAAAAGAAUUUUGUGCUUUGGAUAAACAAAUUUCAUUAAUUUGUUUGGCAGAGUUUUACAUAAAACUUAAGUACGCCGAUGAAGAAAUUACAGUAAAAAGUACAAAUAAUGAUAAGAUCUCCUAUAACAGAAGAACUAAUAAAAUACAUUAAAGAUUCUCCGAUCUUCAAAUCUUGAAUCUCCAAGAAAAAGAUGUAAUGUGCCAUGAACAUCUUAAUCAACAUCAUCACUGGUAGCCACGGAUCCUGGACAUAAAUAUUUGGAUCUGCGUCAUGCCGGAAUGAAGCAUCCUUAAUGAUAUACCCGUGUAUAUUUCUGCAAGUGAACAAAUCGCCAAAAAGGAUAAUUAAUUUGCUUCCUGAUUCAUGAUUUAAUAAAAAAGACAAUUGGUAAUCAUGAAUUUUCACUACAAUUGGUCAUCAUGGAUCAUAAAUAAUAGCUUAGU
This is a long non-coding RNA of Papaver somniferum (opium poppy), 563 nucleotides long. RefSeq lists it as uncharacterized. The transcript is spliced from 3 exons. The record is from RefSeq and is a predicted model, not a curated record. Lineage: Eukaryota; Viridiplantae; Streptophyta; Magnoliopsida; Ranunculales; Papaveraceae.